GCGGCUCAGUUUGUAGAGCGCCUGUCUAACAGGCAGGAAGCUUUGGGUUCAAUCCCCAGGCA
This 62-nucleotide transfer RNA is filed under the name Mus musculus (house mouse). It matches the Rfam family "tRNA", at positions 9 to 63 of the family's 71-position model. From Rfam's summary of the family: Transfer RNA (tRNA) molecules are approximately 80 nucleotides in length. Their secondary structure includes four short double-helical elements and three loops (D, anti-codon, and T loops). The record is from Rfam by way of RNAcentral. Lineage: Eukaryota; Metazoa; Chordata; Mammalia; Rodentia; Muridae.